GAUGAAGAACGUAGCGAAAUGCGAUAAGUAAUGUGAAUUGCAGAAUUCAGUGAAUCAUCGAAUCUUUGAACGCACAUUGCGCCCCUUGGUAUUCCGAGGGGCAUGCCUGUUCGAGCGUCAUUAUAACCCUUCAAGCUCAGCUUGGUGUUGGGGCCUGCUGUAACUGGUAGCCCUUAAAAUCAGUGGCAGUGCUAUUAGGCUCUAAGCGUAGUAGUUCUUCUCGCUAUAGUGUGUAGUGAGCGCUUGCCAGAACCCCAAACUUUUAUAUGAUUGACCUCGGAUCAGGUAGGGAUACCCGCUGAACUUAAGCAUAUCAAUAAGCGGAGGA
RNAcentral lists this unclassified non-coding RNA (328 nucleotides) under soil metagenome. RNAcentral's name for it is "partial contains 5.8S ribosomal RNA, internal transcribed spacer 2, and large subunit ribosomal RNA". The stretch from base 1 to 120 matches the Rfam family "5.8S ribosomal RNA", at positions 35 to 154 of the family's 154-position model. The record is from RNAcentral.